RNAcentral lists this ribosomal RNA (497 nucleotides) under uncultured bacterium. RNAcentral's name for it is "partial 16S ribosomal RNA". It matches the Rfam family "Bacterial small subunit ribosomal RNA", at positions 28 to 507 of the family's 1533-position model. The record is from RNAcentral.
GAUGAACGCUGGCGGCGUGCCUAAUACAUGCAAGUCGAGCGAACGGACGAGAAGCUUGCUUCUCUGAUGUUAGCGGCGGACGGGUGAGUAACACGUGGAUAACCUACCUAUAAGGCUGGGAUAACUUCGGGAAACCGUAGCUAAUACCGGAUAAUAUUUUGAACCGCAUGGUUCAAAAGUGAAAGAUGGUCUUGCUGUCACUUAUAGAUGGAUCCGCGCUGCAUUAGCUAGUUGGUAAGGUAACGGCUUACCAAGGCAACGAUGCAUAGCCGACCUGAGAGAGUGAUCGGCCACACGGGAACUGAGACACGGUCCAGACUCCUACGGGAGGCAGCAGUAGGGAAUCUUCCGCAAUGGGCGAAAGCCUGACGGAGCAACGCCGCGUGGGUGAUGAAGGUCUUCGGAUCGUAAAACUCUGUUAUUAGGGAAGAACAUAUGUGUAAGUAACUGUGCACAUCUUGACGGUACCUAAUCAGAAAGCCACGGCUAACUACGUG